RNAcentral lists this long non-coding RNA (221 nucleotides) under Elaeis guineensis (African oil palm). RNAcentral's name for it is "long non-coding RNA (EGUI_LNC010051)". The record is from RNAcentral. Lineage: Eukaryota; Viridiplantae; Streptophyta; Magnoliopsida; Arecales; Arecaceae.
UGGUGCCUCCGCUACUUAUAGUGGGGUUGCUGUAAUUUGACUACAUAUAAAUAUGAUCUCUAGGCAUAUGGAUCCUUAUAGUAGACGUUUGCUGCAGUAGGUUCACUGUAAGAGUAGGAUGCACAUCUAGAUGGGAUCUAUCGAUCUUAAUAGAUAAAAAAUAAUUUUAUAUUAUUUAUGAGAUUGAGUUUGAAAGAUCUUGAUCAGGAUAGUGUGAAUGA